GAGUUUGAUCCUGGCUCAGAUUGAACGCUGGCGGCAUGCCUUACACAUGCAAGUCGAACGGCAGCAUGAUCUAGCUUGCUAGAUUGAUGGCGAGUGGCGAACGGGUGAGUAAUACAUCGGAACGUGCCCUGUAGUGGGGGAUAACUAGUCGAAAGAUUAGCUAAUACCGCAUACGACCUGAGGGUGAAAGUGGGGGACCGCAAGGCCUCAUGCUAUAGGAGCGGCCGAUGUCUGAUUAGCUAGUUGGUGGGGUAAAGGCCCACCAAGGCGACGAUCAGUAGCUGGUCUGAGAGGACGAUCAGCCACACUGGGACUGAGACACGGCCCAGACUCCUACGGGAGGCAGCAGUGGGGAAUUUUGGACAAUGGGCGAAAGCCUGAUCCAGCAAUGCCGCGUGUGUGAAGAAGGCCUCGGUUGU
Molecule: ribosomal RNA, 419 nt
Filed under: uncultured microorganism
Description: bacterial SSU rRNA
Rfam family: Bacterial small subunit ribosomal RNA
Source: RNAcentral